RNAcentral lists this ribosomal RNA (492 nucleotides) under uncultured bacterium. Its description in RNAcentral is "partial 16S ribosomal RNA". It matches the Rfam family "Bacterial small subunit ribosomal RNA", at positions 29 to 507 of the family's 1533-position model. The record is from RNAcentral.
AGUGAACGCUGGCGGUAGGCCUAACACAUGCAAGUCGAACGGCAGCACAGUAAGAGCUUGCUCUUACGGGUGGCGAGUGGCGGACGGGUGAGGAAUACAUCGGCAUCUACUUUUUCGUGGGGGAUAACGUAGGGAAACGUACGCUAAUACCGCAUACGACCUACGGGUGAAAGCAGGGGAUCUUCGGACCUUGCGCGAUUGAAUGAGCCGAUGUCGGAUUAGCUAGUUGGCGGGGUAAAGGCCCACCAAGGCGACGAUCCGUAGCUGGUCUGAGAGGAUGAUCAGCCACACUGGAACUGAGACACGGUCCAGACUCCUACGGGAGGCGGCAGUGGGGAAUAUUGGACAAUGGGCGCAAGCCUGAUCCAGCCAUACCGCGUGGGUGAAGAAGGCCUUCGGGUUGUAAAGCCCUUUUGUUGGGAAAGAAAAGCAGCAGGUUAAUACCCCGCUGUUCUGACGGUACCCAAAGAAUAAGCACCGGCUAACUUCGUG